This 458-nucleotide ribosomal RNA is filed under the name uncultured bacterium. RNAcentral's name for it is "partial 16S ribosomal RNA". It matches the Rfam family "Bacterial small subunit ribosomal RNA", at positions 338 to 795 of the family's 1533-position model. The record is from RNAcentral.
CCUACGGGAGGCAGCAGUGAGGAAUAUUGGUCAAUGGGCGAGAGCCUGAACCAGCCAAGUCGCGUGAGGGAGUACUGCCCUAUGGGUUGUAAACCUCUUUUGUCGGGGAGCAAAGGCCGGACGUGUCCGGCUGUGAGAGUACCCGAAGAAAAAGCAUCGGCUAACUCCGUGCCAGCAGCCGCGGUAAUACGGAGGAUGCGAGCGUUAUCCGGAUUUAUUGGGUUUAAGGGGUGCGCAGGCGGAUUUUUAAGUCAGCGGUAAAAUCGUGGGGCUCAACCCCAUCCAGCCGUUGAAACUGGGGAUCUAGAGUGUGCGAGAGGUAUGCGGAAUGCGUGGUGUAGCGGUGAAAUGCAUAGAUAUCACGCAGAACCCCGAUUGCGAAGGCAGCAUACCGGUGCACAACUGACGCUCAGGCACGAAAGCGUGGGUAUCGAACAGGAUUAGAUACCCGGGUAGUC